This is a long non-coding RNA of Silurus meridionalis, 1658 nucleotides long. RefSeq lists it as uncharacterized. The record is from RefSeq and is a predicted model, not a curated record. The transcript is spliced from 2 exons. Lineage: Eukaryota; Metazoa; Chordata; Actinopteri; Siluriformes; Siluridae.
UAAUUGAUCAUCAGCAAGUGGCACCACCUCUACAAAAGUAAUGAGCUGUGCAUGUUUUGCAACUACAACACUUAGGCAACUUGCAGUCACUGAGUUAGCCGUGAGCUCCUCUGUAUAUCAAAGUAUCCUAGAAUCAAAUUUGAGGCCAUCUGUCCAUCCAUGGACCAGGUCAAUGACCCCAAGCACAUCAGCAAAUUUACAACAGAAUGACAAAAAGAACAGAGUCAAGGCCCGGUCCAGACCUCAACCCUGACUGAAAUGCUGUGGCGGGAUCUUCAGAGAAAGACCUGCUUAAAUCGGAUACCAAAAGACUUUUACUCAAGUCUUAUUGGAAUUGGUGACUUUCAAUGCAAGGAAUCUAUGCAAAUGCUUUGAAGCAGCGUUUUGACACCCCAGCGCCCCUCAUGCCACCAGCUAUUGGAAGUGAAGUGAGAUGCUAACACUUCCCAUUAGCGAUCGAGACGGCAUAGCGGCGAGUCGGUGGCAGCUUCUGUGAACUCCCCUUCAAUUACGGGUUUGAAAGAGGCGAGACUUUCGAGCUGAACGCCUGCACAGAGACGGCAUGCCGAAACACUGGCAGGCUUGUCUGGAAAACAGGCAAACGAGUCAACGUUGUACUGUUAAUCUUGUAUUUCAAUGCUAUCUCAAGUGUGUGUGUGUUUAAUGCAUAGUCCCUGAGGCAAGAGCAAGCUACUAAUGGCUCUACUGUGCUCUUCAAGGGCCCUGGUUUGGUUACUAAAACUCAGACAAAGAGCCAUCUUGUGGGACAUUACAGUGAGAGGAAAGGUGGAGGACUAUAAGGCGUUUGCAGAUGCUAUCUCUUUUCAGUGCAUUAUAUAAUAAACUCUUGACAGGAAUAGCUUUGCUUUUAUAUGUAAGCAAUACAACACUUGGUAUAAAAAGGUCAUAAUCCAUAAUCAUAAAGAAAUAUGGAAAACACUGUCAGGAAUAUAGACACAAACUAGGUUUCCUAUCAGCCACUACAGUACAUCCAAAUAUAUGGACAAAAAACUGUCACCAAAAGAUUGCUAUGUGGCUUUUGAACUGAAUCCCAUUCCACAUUUAGUCCCCAUCUCCACUUUUCUGGGAAGAUUUUCACCAGAUUUUAAUUUAGCUGUAGAUUUGUCCUUAUUCAACCAUAAGAGCUUUAGUAAGGUACUGAUGUAGGUGACAAUGAGGUCUGGGGUGCAAUCAGUGUUCCAAUUAUCCCAAUGUUGGUGAAUAAGGUUUGACCUCUUUAGCAGGCCACUCAAGAUCGUCCACACCAAUGAAUGUAAACUACAUCAUCAGGAUUCGAUCUUCUAGUUCAAGUAAAGGGAAAAUAUAAUGCUACACAUCCAAAUACACCCUAUACAAUUGUGUGCCUUUAAAUUUGUGGGAACAAUCUGGGGAACAACCAAAUUUUCCUGAAAAAGUCUAUUGUAGCAAUACUUUUGUUAUUCAUUUGUACAUAACUCCUAUCUAUUUGUAUGAAUAGCUCAAUUGUAUAAUCAGGAUAUUCCUUUUACUUUCAUCUUGGUGUCUGUUUUGUGAUCAGCUGGUCACUAGAACACAGCUUGUGUUUAAACAUUUUUGCAAUCCAUGUACCCCAAACUCUUAUGCUAUUUACAAGCUCACUUCCUCUCUGUGCAAAAAAAAAAAAAGUUACCAUUUGAGCA